UGUAGACUGUGGAUUCGUCAUCCGAUUUUCAAUCGAUGCUUAUAAGGUUCCGGAAUAUGAAGACAAAAGCUGGAAGCGUGCAGUGGUAGAGAUAGUCCUAUGAAGGACAAUAAAGAACUGUAAUAGAAAGAAAGGAAAGCCCUAUGGAGUUGAGACACUUAUUGUAGAAGACUGUUAAUGAUAGAAAUAACGAUGUAAAUAUAAAGGUAAGUUCCGCAAUUGUAUUCCAGUUGGGUUGUAAAUAAAUAAUACAAGUCCAUAUUAAAUAUAUGAACCGUAUUUUGGAUGCAUAUGUAUAAUAAGUUAAUGGGCCUGAAUUCAUAAUUAUGAAUAGAAUGUGAAAUUUAAAUAA
Molecule: non-coding RNA, 352 nt
Organism: Jatropha curcas
Lineage: Eukaryota; Viridiplantae; Streptophyta; Magnoliopsida; Malpighiales; Euphorbiaceae
Source: RefSeq, a predicted model, not a curated record